This 170-nucleotide ribosomal RNA is filed under the name Toxoplasma gondii ME49. RNAcentral describes it as "Toxoplasma gondii rRNA TGME49_460860". The record is from RNAcentral. Lineage: Eukaryota; Apicomplexa; Conoidasida; Eucoccidiorida; Sarcocystidae.
ACCUUGUUACGACUUCUCCUUCCUCUAAGUGUUAAGGUUCACAAAACUUCCCAUUUCGGGCACGAACGCGCCACAAAACGGUCCGAAUAAUUCACCGGAACACUCAAUCGGUAGGAGCGACGGGCGGUGUGUACAAAGGGCAGGGACGUAAUCGGCGCAAGCUGCUGACU